This 239-nucleotide ribosomal RNA is filed under the name uncultured bacterium. RNAcentral's name for it is "partial 16S ribosomal RNA". It matches the Rfam family "Bacterial small subunit ribosomal RNA", at positions 78 to 334 of the family's 1533-position model. The record is from RNAcentral.
UAAUCGGUGUAAUGAUAGCGGCGAACGGGUGAGUAACACGUUGGAACCUGCCCCCAAGUCAGGGAUAGCCAAGGGAAACCUUGGAUAAUACCGGAUAGUCUCUUAGGAGUAAAAAUUUAUUGCUUGGGGAGGGGCCUGCGGACUAUCAGCUAGUUGGUAAGGUAAGAGCUUACCAAGGCUAUGACGGAUAACUGGUCUGAGAGGAUGAUCAGUCACAAUGGAACUGAGACACGGUCCAU